Molecule: unclassified non-coding RNA, 158 nt
Filed under: uncultured Neofabraea
Lineage: Eukaryota; Fungi; Ascomycota; Leotiomycetes; Helotiales; Dermateaceae
Description: sequence contains ITS1
Source: RNAcentral
AAGAGAACUUGCCCUUCGGGGUAGAUCUCCCACCCUUUGUUUAUCACACUUUGUUGCUUUGGCGGGCCUGCCUCACGGCUGCCGGCGUAAGCUGGCUCGCGCCCGCCAGAGACCCCUAAACUCUGAAUAUUGUCGUCUGAGUAAUAUAUAAUAAGUUA